AUGAACAAGAAUCUUGGCAAGAGAACUGCUGAAGCUGGUGGAAAGGAUGAUCCUCAGUGCAAGCGACUACAUGUCACUGGAGGUCCCAACUCUGAUGAUGAUGACUUUGUGCUUGCUGAUUUUGUGAGGGAUGUUCAUAGUGGUAGACGCAAAGACUGUGGUUUAUCUAAGAGUCUACCCAAGCGUGACCGUGACGAUGUCGAUGAAGAUGUUUCUGGUGACUCUGGCGAGGAGGUGGAUGUUGUUCCAAAGAGGAAGAAGUCUAGUAAGAGCAAUGCAGCUGAAGAUGAAGCUAAGAAAAAUGUGUCGCGCAUUCUUAUGUGCUAUCUGAUGGGAGUGAUUGACCCUGCCACCAUGAUAAUGGACUUUGGGAAUGGCAUGGUUCUUCGAAUCAAUCGUGAUGCAGUUCAUCACAUUUUUGAUUUACCCAUGGGAUGUCACACUGCACCCAUGCCUGCUGCCAGUGGCCAUGAUGACUCGUUGAGUGCCCUCAAGGAUGAGCUUGGCUUUGACCGUUCAAAAAGUAUAGGUAUCAAGGACUUGCUUGAGAAGUUGAAGGUGUUGGUGGAGGAAGAUGAUGAUGUGACUGUUGACCUUGUUGUGAAGGUGUUCUUCCUGAUACUCUACCAGAAUUUGCUGUGCCCCGGGCCUGCAGGUCGUUUGGGUAGAGUUGCUGCAAUGAUAGAGAACAUGGAUUAUGCGGCUAUGGCUCAGAUGGACUUUUGCCAGCUUGCAGGCAGCUCUGGUAAGCUUCGCAAAUUUUCACUCAUGCACACAUUGACGCCACGUGCGUCAUACCUGGCGACCAAGGACCUGAUGAAGUUAUACGAUGAGGAUGUGCUUGUGAAGGGAAAGAUUUAUUUGGAAACUUACAAAUUUGGGAAGCUGCCGUGGAAGGCGUCAGGUGAUAUUGUGUACAACAGUCCUAUUGCAGUUGAACGCGGCAGCUCUGAUGCAAGACCUAGCACUCAUGCUAGGUUUUAUGAGCCUAUAUGUAGCCAGCUUCCUGCCUGUGAUGAUGAGACAUUUGUUGGUGGAAAAAAACACGAGGAGAUUGAUGAGCUUCUUCUGAAGGUUUUGAAGUUGACUGAAGAUUUGCCAACCUCCGGUGAGAGGUUGAGGACAGUUGCUGGUUUUUUCCCUGUUGGCCAUGGCCCACUAGAUGAAGAUAUUGUUACUGCUCACAAUUUUGAUUGCGGCGUGAUUGAAAGCCUGAAGAUUGCAGUGACGAAUGAUCGGUCUUCGUAUGCUCAAUUGAGAUAUUCACAAGAGGAAAAAUGCGGUCGAUACGAGAAGGAUGCUGGGCAUAUUUUGGAUGAAAUAAACCGUCAGGACGCUGGUGUUGGCGCUGAUAAUACUGGUGAUGCUGCUUGUGAUGUGCACAAAGAGACCUACGAUGGCUCUGGGAAGGAUGAGGUCUUGGCUGAUGCAUCGUCCCCUCCGGAUGUUGUAGCUGAUAAGUGUUGGUGCUUCUGCAUCGGUAGUUGUCCAGACGCUUCUGUAGCUCAAGAAUACCUUGAUGCUCUUUCCCCCAGUCGGCAUGAAGACUCUGAUUUUGUCAUUGAAAAACCGCUGGAGAAUGCCAUCCCUGCUGUUAGUGUUGUUGCUUCCCCUGUUUGUCUGGCGGCCAACGAUGUUCCUGAAGUAUCGAGAAUUGAGCCUCAUGUAGCUGAAGUAUCUAAGGACGUUGCGGUUGACCAGACUAUUGUAAAUCCAGAGAAUGCUGAUGUUGCUGCAGAAGGGAAGUCCAGUGAGGUUGUGGUGGAUUCAUCGCAAUCUGUCCAAGAAAAUCUUUUGGUGAGCUCUGAAGAACAACAGCAUGAAGACUCUGACACUGAAGGCAAGAGUUUUGUUUCAAACAGUGCAGUUGAAUAUCUUAUGUUUUCAGUUUUUCAUGAAAAAUUCAAGGACAUGAUUGCUUUUAAAACUGAGUUGGGUGAUAUUACCAUUGGCGAAGUUGGUCAAUCCUUUUGGGAUAAAGGGAUGCUCACUACAAGACUUGUAGAUCUUGGGGUUUCUUUGCUGAUAGAUGAGUUUAAGGGAUCUCCGACAAUGAAAAAUAUUUGGAAUGGUGGUACUGUAGGCAGAAGUGUUAAAAUGGUGUUCUCUUCAAAAGCCGAGGAGCGUGUUGAUAAAAAGGAUAUGGUCCUUUUUGCAACUUUUGAUCCACCAGAUACAAGGGAUGACAUUGGUCAUUAUUGUGUAGUUGCGUUAAAUAUGAAAGAAAGGCGGUUUGAAUUUCUUGACUCGCUCAAUAAACCUGGCAGCCAUGGUGCGAUCAAGGUUUUUAGGAGGAUGGUUAAAAAUAUCAAGCGUGCAUGGAAAGAAGGAAGCUCAAGUUCCGAUGAGCUGCUAAAUCCUCCUACACUUGAUGGAUUUGUGUUGAAACAUGUCAUUGUCCCAAUACAUCCUAAUGGGCAUGAUUGUGGAUUCUAUAUGUUUCAAUUCCUGCAGCCUUGGGAUGGUGUUCGAGUUGCUCAGUUUGGGGUGGAGCACAUUGGCUACAUCAGAAAGCCCAUGCUCUAUAGUUGGCUCACAUCGAGAAAGUGUUCCCUUGAUUUAACAUCGCUUUUAAUUUUUGCAGAUAAAGAUUGCACCGUUGAAAUCUCUCAAGAUAAUUCUGGUUCUUUGGCUGGAGAUGGUUUGAACACAGCUGUGGCGUCUGGAUCUGAUGGUGCAAGUGUUUCUCGCCCUAGCUCCCCACGUGAUGUGUUUGAUGUUGAUGAUGAUGAUUUUGUUACACCGUGUCCUCACGUCACGAGGACUCGGAGUGCAGCAAUUAAUCGGCCUCCUGUGGAUGAUGUUGAAGUUUUUUCGAACAAGAGGGCAGGUGAGAGGGCUUUUAAGUUGAGAUGCUCUAUAGAGAAAUUGAAGCCUCCGAGGUUCAAAUAUAUUGAUGAGGCGAGGAAAAUAGAGGAUCUUGUUCUCAGCAAAGCAUUUGUAACCAAAUACCACGAGAAUGCGUUCUUUAUGGUGAACAGUCCUUUUGGUGAUCUUGAUACUUACAAUGUUGACUAUAUCUAUAAUACAUUUGGCAAAGGAGCUUUAAUGGAUUCGUAUCUCAUGGAUUUUGUCAUCAAGUACUGGAAGCAAGACGCUAAAAUGGGUUUAGUUUAUCAUUCUGGUGAACGUGUGCUACUUUCACCCUUAUUUAUCACGUAUGUUCUUCAGAUGGAAACAUUUGUGAAGAAAGAUGAGGAAGGAAACCCUGUGUUGCCAGUUUUGCAUAGCACAUUGGUUUCAGAAGAUGUAGUUAACCAGUUCAAGGUUUUUGUGAGUGACGACAUAAACCUGUUGGAUGCAAAACUGAUGAGGAGGAUGACUCAGUUGGUGAAGGCGAUUUAUGGUGAAAAAAUGUGUAAAUCUAAGAACCACCCUGACUGGGUUAAAUUGGUAGAGAAGCCCUCUUACCCGAUCGUGCCAGUGCAGGGAGCAAACGAGUGCGGAAUCUAUGUUCUGAGGGUGACGCAGUUGUAUGACGGCCAACGUUUAGUUGAGAAAAUUAUCAAAACCGACACUGCUGUUGAAGAUUGGAAGGCGGAGUACAUGUUCCAGCUGCUGUUCAAUUCCUCAAACAUGUUGUGUUAUGAAGACAUGCCGCUUGAGCUAGGAGAACUGAUUGCGGACCUCGGGCUUACUUCCCUAUCGCAAUCGCAGACGCAGUAA
Molecule: ribosomal RNA, 3666 nt
Filed under: Triticum aestivum (bread wheat)
Lineage: Eukaryota; Viridiplantae; Streptophyta; Magnoliopsida; Poales; Poaceae
Description: partial small subunit ribosomal RNA
Source: RNAcentral